UCAGACAACUAUAAUUCUAAAAUGCCAACAAGGUAGGUUGAUUAAAGGUAACCGUAUCAUAAGUUUGCCAUGUAUAGUCUUACAAAAUUUUGAAAUACAAAAAAAGAUAAACUAGCAUUAAUAUCAUACAUCUUGAUAAGAAUACCAACAACUGAAAACAUUGUGUACGUUCCGAUAGGAUGAUGUGAGCGGACAACUGAAAUUUAUACUACGCAUAUUGCACGGUCAAUAUCACAAAGUUUUAAACCGAUACAAGUGUGUGCGUCGCAAAUUAUAUUUUGUUAGCGGUCUUAGACAUCAGGAUACUUAAAUCGUAGUCACUGUAAUUGGAUUUUAUCGAUUGAUUUUUUACUCUACUUAGAUUGUCGGAAAUGACACUGCAUAUAAAAUAAGAAGUAUAUUUACAAUCGGAAUGCGGUCAUCAACAAUGAGCAUCACUCGUAAUGUAAAAAUAAAAAUUAGCCACACAAGCCUCAAUGAUGACAAUUAUAACUAUUGACAACCAAUCGGUGGCCUCCGACUGUUGUCUUAUCAAUGGUCGGGUUGUUGACACAUUCCCCAUUUCCAUUCUCAGUUUUAUCUUUUCAAAGUAAACAAAAAACAUGAAUAUUUCGUGUUGAAUUGCCUUCAGAUGUCACAUGGUCAGAUAUAAAAGUGAAACAGGAUACGGUAGGCAUUAAAGAUGUUGUGCUUCAAGUGAAUAUCUUAUUUUGAAAACAGCUUUUUGAAAUCAAAUUCUUAAAUAGAAAUGGAUUUCAGUUCUAGAAUACAUUUCCAUCCAUCCGAUCCUACAGUUUUAUCCAACACAAAUUCAUCUGUGGCACAUUUGGACUGACAUUGUAACAAAACAUGUCAGUCAUGUUAAUUUUUUAUCAUUAAUUAUCUGGACUAAGUAUAUGCAAUGUCUUACUGUAUCGUGCGAAACUAAUGACAUUGUUUUUCAACAGGAAUUUAUUUAAGGAACUUAGUUCUAACUAAAAUAUUUGACUUUCGAGGACUAAUGAAAUUCUGCUUCUCUGUUGUUAUUCAAUGAACAGUUUGUGCUGUAAUGUUUUAUUGCGAACUAUAAACUUUCUACAGUUUCACCUGCAAGUUAUAUGUCGAUUUAAACUUUUGUUAGUAUUUACUUAGUGUUGUCUGUGUAAAAAAAGGGAUAAUGUUUUUGUCAGGUAAAUAAAUCAAUAAGUGGUAGAUUUCUCUUGGAAGUAAUCUAAAUGUCUCAGUGAAAAUCUAUACAGAGAACAAAGCUAUUGUAUUUAUUAUGAAGAUGGACAAAAGUUUGAAUACCCUGGUCAAGUGCAGAUGACUCUGUGGAAAACUUUCAUUUGGUUAGCAAUAGAUAAUACAGCACCAGCUCAUAUGACAAACAAAAUGACAAAAACUAAGUGAUCUAUUGUUGCAUUGAUGACAAACUAACUACUUUCGAAAUCUUAGUUCACCUGUCCGCUUCACUCGACCAGUCGUCACCAUAUUUAUCCUUUUAACAUUUGUAUAACACUCAACCAUUUUUUUUAUAAAUAAAACGGGGUUUCAAACUAUUGUUUUACAGCCUUGGAGUGUGAAUUAAUGUAAAAAGAAUCGAUGUUUUGUUUUUGGACUGUCAUCUGUUGGACAAUUUGUACAUUACACAUUGAGACAAAAAGAAAUGAAUUGUGGUUGCUUACGGCUAAACUUGAAAUUGUUCUAUUAACUAAAUUAAUAUCAGAAACGUAUUCUUGCAUGCAACAGAAAUUACCAGACUUUCGCCGAUGUACGAAGGUUAUAAUGAUAGAAAAUUUACGUAAAUGAAAACAGAAAUAGUAAAUUAUUAAAACAUGAGUAUAUAAACACAUACGUAAGUGAUUUUUUAAGACUAAAUAUACAAGUCAGUUGCUGUUUGAACAGUUCAACGUUCAUUUCAAAUAAAGAUGCAGCUAAAAACUUUUUUUGUAUUAUUCAUUUUGAUAAAGCUUGUGCAUCCUUUAAUGAUUUCGUUACCAACACGGUAGAUCGAUUAUAAUGUAUCGCAACUGACGAUUGUCAUACACAUCAGCUUUUGUUAUAGUAACUGUAUAAUGAAUAUGUUUAUAACUGUGGUUUUUUUUCUUUAUGUUUGUUGGUAGAAAUGAGGAAAACACGUAUGACACAAUCGGUAUGUCCACUCCAUCUAAAAGGCCAAAUGACCAAGCAGAUUAUAUGGAAGUGUUUUAACUUCUAUCAUUGAAAUUUACGCCUUUAACAUUAUGCUUUGAUGUUCAGCGAUUGCUAACGUAUGAUCCCAAUAUAUCAAUGUAAUCUAGACAUUUUCGUUCUUGGAACCUCUUUUGAAGGAAACUAGAUUGUUUGUCAUUUUUUUUUUACAAUUUAUACAAUUUAUGUUUACGCAGCUUGAUUUGUUUCUGACUUCAGUAAUUUAGUAAUAAGAUUUUUGAAAACAUUUAAUUUGAUUACACACUUUGGAAAGUUAAACACGUAGAUAAAUCUGAUUACAAAAUUAUUCCGUUAACAAUUAUUUGUUUAUGAAAAUGUUUAUCGACUUCAUUUGUGUGGCUGAUCAGUUUUAUAAUUCGUCAACCUUCACGUUUGCGUAUGUCUGCAUAUACUUUCACCAUCCAUUGUAAUGUCAAAUGGUGUACUUCUUUUGUUUUUCAUUCUUUAUGUUUUGUUAUUAGUCUUAUAAAGGCAUUUAAUGUACGUAUAUAUACUGUAUCUGUAUACAUGUAUUGCUAUGCAAUAAAACGUGAAUACUUAUCUUAAUAUUUGACCUAUCACGCUAAUAAAAAAAUUGAAAUGAGAAUAUUGCCAGUGUCCUCAAUUAGCGGCUCUUGUUUUAAACUUUAUUUGUUUGAGAAAUAUAAAUCUUUGCCUCUUUUGUUUUUCUUUGUGUACAUAUUUUUUUAUAGUUAUUAAGAUUAUAACACAAUGUUGACCACCUUACCCCUACAUAUGUUUACCUAUUAUGUCUGUUUUGUUCACACAUCGUUGUCAAAAUUCAUGAAUUUUAUGCGACUGUCAUACAAGUGAGAGGUUUAGCUAGCUAUAUAUAUAACCAGGUUUAACAAACCAUUUGUCUACAUAAGGCAUUGAUUGUACCAAGUCAGAGUUAUCCAUUCGUUUGUCAAAUGUUUGUUUUGAUUGAACUUUUGAUUUUGCCUUUUAAGGAUGUACACCUCUGAGGAGCCAAACAUUUUUAAAAUUAAACUUUUUUUAUUAACCUGAUUUUUGGGUUUAUAAGACUGUAACAAAAUAAUUGUUGAAGAAAAAUUCAUAUGGUGGUACACUUUUUUGUUUGCUACGGCCCUUUGAAAAUGCCCAAUUUUGAUGAAUUACCAAUUUUUCAUCGAUUGUUUAUCUACGUUUGGGCUAUUAUCGUGAAAAUAAUCACAGUUCCACAAUUAAACUUGUGUUCAUACUUUUAUAAAAUGAUUUGUGUUGUACUUGAUUCUUGUAAAAUAUUUUUUUGUAUCCCUCACCUUUUUUCUCAAAUUUUUGGCAAAAAACAUAGACUUGAUUGGUGGUAAAAUUGAAAACUGGAUUACACAAAAUAAAAACCAUGCAUUGUAAAUACAAUUUUUUUUUUCACAGAGUUAUGUUUGAUUAUAAUAUUCAUUGAUAUUUUCC
This 3600-nucleotide long non-coding RNA is filed under the name Mytilus galloprovincialis (Mediterranean mussel). The record is from RNAcentral. Lineage: Eukaryota; Metazoa; Mollusca; Bivalvia; Mytilida; Mytilidae.